GCCAAAUAUGUAAGAAUGUGUUAGAAUAUGUUAAAAUGUUUUUCAGAACAGCAUAACCUGGUUUUAAUUUUUGCUACAGCAGGUCAGACGUACAGGACAGGGAUCAUGGAAUAUUUCAACAUGCAUGAUUUACAAAAACCAACAGAAGAGUUUUUUGAUGAUGACAAUACAACAGUCUGCAAGCUCAAACUCAUUGGGCCUUUCACUUUUUAUGACAAAGAUGGCUCCACCAAGAAGAAACUGGCGGAGCAACAGGCAGCUAAAAUUGCAUUGCAGCAUCUGUCAGGGAUCCUCAACUUUACUCCAAUAUCAGAUACUGAGAAGAACUUCAAAGGUGUUCUGAAGGAGCGUCUAGAGAUGCUGGGUCUCAAAAAUCCUGUUUAUGAAGAGUAUAAAGCAGAGGCCAGUGAAGAGUCUGUCACCAGCGGUAUGAGCACAAAGCUUUCAAACUUAUCUAUCAAUCAGGAAGCAGUAAAAGAGCAUUUAGACCUGAAGUCUGAAAGCAUCUCCACAUCAGCACAGCUCCCAUCAGGCCAGGAACCAGUCCGUGUUCCUGUUCCUGUGCAGCCGGACCCGCCAGACUCCAGCUCUCCAGCCUCACAGAUGAAAAAGCCCAGGAUUGAUUGUCCAGAAAUCGAUGAGCUGGUAAAUGUAUAUAAUCUCAAGCCACCACACAUGAAUGUAGAGAACAUGAAAUAUGAUCAGAAUGUCAAAUGUACUGUGACAGUCAACAUGGAAAAAUAUACUUGUGCAAACAAACAAAGCUACGACUCCAAGAAAGAAGCCAUUCGAAAAGCCUACCUGUUAUUCGGCCGUGCGGUGGGAAUUCUGGAUCCUAGCUCAGAUGAAAAGACGUGCAGUGCACUGGUGAAGCAGCACUUUUCUCAGAAGUCUCUUAUUCUUCCUCAGGAAGAUGUUGAAGGAUCUGUAAAGCCAUUUUACUGCUCACUUAAAAAUAUAACUUACGAUGUGAAGUAUGAUGGACAAGGGUCUUCAGAAGGUGAAGCCAAGUUACAAGCUCUCCAGAAUGCCUUACAUGCACUAUCACCUCUCUUUGAUUAUGCUUCACUACCGGGAGCGGAUAGUCCUGAAGAGGUGCAGAAUCAGCUGAGCGCCAUGCUGAACGGGGCCGGUCAGAAAGAGCCUGUCAUUGACCUGAAAUCUGAGGAACGAGCCUGUAUCCAGCUGUCUUUCUGCGACUAUACGCUGAAGUGCACAUGCCAAAGCUCCAAGAGAGCAGCUAGAAAUCAUCUGAGUGAACGUAUACUGGGUCUGCUGGGGGUAAAGACAGAUAACAAUGCAUCUUUGAGAAACAGUUUAGAUGUGUGGUUCAGAAAGCAGAAUCUGCCACAGCCAGUGUUUGAGGACAUAGAAGAGGCGCUUGGAGCAAAGGCUACUUUCUCUGUUCAGUUAAGCUGCUGCAGUCCAGGCUGGGAGGACAGCUGGAAAACUGCAAAGUCGAAGCUGCUUCAAGAGCUCAAGCUCAGAUUUCGAUUUCUCAAUGAAAAAAACAAUUGAAAUUGAUCUUAGCUGGAAAAAAAAAAUCAACCCAAAUUGCACUAUUGGUCUGCAUGCCCUAGUCACCUACUGUACCUUGACUUGUUCUGGUGAAGAUUUUCAAACCUGGCUUGCAAUUUUAUCUGUUUUAAGGUUUUUCUUUUUCUUUUUUUUAAUACAGAUAUUUACAUUCUUAAAUGUACAUUUAUUUUUACAAUUUUAAAUUUCCCUGGGAUUUAAAUCAAUGGCCAUGGCACUGAAUUAAACUAGAUGUAUUUUAAAGAUUUAUACCAAAGGUAUACCAACUAAACCCUUUUAACAUCAGCAGAAAAUUACAAAUCAACAAAAUUUAAUGAAAAUGAAAACCUGAAGUUUCAUUCCUUUUCCAAAAGGCACUGAUAUUGCACUAACUGAAAUCCAGAUUCAGGGGUUUGCUGUCUUUGCUGGAAAACUAAUCUAUUUUAAUCUAUUACUGUGCAUAUGAUUUAAUGAGAUGAGCUACAUUUUUAACAGUUUGGUUGGUGAAGUGAAUUUAUUCAUUCCACACUUGACUGCAGAGCCAUUUUACAGUAUCGACAUUUACUUGUGUUGGAAAAUUACCAGUAUGCAGCAGAUCUUCAUAGGCUUACGAGAGAAACUGAGUGGUACAAUGUGAAUUUUGAACACCAGCAUGUCAUUACAUUUAUUAAUCAUUUUUGGUUAAUACUGCCCUUGAACUGUUGAUUGUGCAAUUUGAAACCUCUUUAGAAUGAACUACAAAAACUGUUUACAAGAAGCUAUACUUUAUCAAAUACAGUGAGGAUAGAAAAU
Long non-coding RNA from Sinocyclocheilus grahami, 2307 nucleotides. The record is from Ensembl. NCBI's taxonomy places the organism in Eukaryota, Metazoa, Chordata, Actinopteri, Cypriniformes, Cyprinidae.